RNAcentral lists this ribosomal RNA (402 nucleotides) under uncultured bacterium. RNAcentral's name for it is "bacterial SSU rRNA". It matches the Rfam family "Bacterial small subunit ribosomal RNA", at positions 28 to 415 of the family's 1533-position model. The record is from RNAcentral.
GAUGAACGCUGGCGGCGUGCUUAAUACAUGCAAGUCGAACGAAGGACUCCUUGUAGCAAUACGGGGAGGCCUGAGUGGCGAAUGGGUGAGUAACACGUAGGUGACCUGCCCCGAAGUGUGGAAUAACAGCCCGAAAGGGCUGCUAAUACCGCAUACGGCCUCCGGAGUUAGAGGUCCGGAGUCCAAAGGCUGCGCAAGCGGCCGCUUUGGGAGGGGCCUGCGGUCCAUCAGCUAGCUGGUAGGGUAACGGCCUACCAGGGCGAUGACGGAUAGGGGGCCUGAGAGGGUGAUCCCCCACACUGGCACUGAAACACGGGCCAGACACCUGCGGGUGGCAGCAGUAGGGAAUAUUGCCCAAUGGACGAAAGUCUGAGGCAGCAACGCCGCGUGCGCGAUGGAAGG